RNAcentral lists this ribosomal RNA (405 nucleotides) under uncultured prokaryote. Its description in RNAcentral is "bacterial SSU rRNA". It matches the Rfam family "Bacterial small subunit ribosomal RNA", at positions 355 to 774 of the family's 1533-position model. The record is from RNAcentral.
UGGGGGAUAUUGCACAAUGGGCGAAAGCCUGAUGCAGCAACGCCGCGUGAGGGAAGACGGUUUUCGGAUUGUAAACCUCUGUCUUCGGUGAAGAAAAAAAUGACGGUAGCCGAGGAGGAAGCCACGGCUAACUACGUGCCAGCAGCCGCGGUAAUACGUAGGUGGCGAGCGUUGUCCGGAAUUACUGGGUGUAAAGGGAGCGCAGGCGGGGAGACAAGUCAGCUGUGAAAACUAUGGGCUUAACCCAUAAACUGCAGUUGAAACUGUUUUUCUUGAGUGGAGUAGAGGUAGGCGGAAUUCCGAGUGUAGCGGUGAAAUGCGUAGAUAUUGGGAGGAACACCAGUGGCGAAGGCGACUUUCUGGACUGUGUCUGACGCUGAGGUGCGAAAGCGAGGGGAGCGAACG